ACGUGUGGGGCAAGCGUUGUUCGGAAUUAUUGGGCGUAAAGGGCGUCUAGGCGGGGGAUUAAGUUAGAUGUGAAAGCUAUGGGCUCAACCCAUAAACUGCAUCUAAGACUGGUUCUCUUGAGUUCGGGAGAGGAGAGCGGAAUUCCAGGUGUAGGGGUGAAAGGCGUAGAUCUCUGGAAGAACACCAGUGGCGAAGGCGGCUAUCUGGACUAGAACUGACGCUGAAGCGCGAAAUCGUGGGGAGCGAACAG
RNAcentral lists this ribosomal RNA (251 nucleotides) under uncultured prokaryote. RNAcentral describes it as "partial 16S rRNA". It matches the Rfam family "Bacterial small subunit ribosomal RNA", at positions 525 to 775 of the family's 1533-position model. The record is from RNAcentral.